RNAcentral lists this ribosomal RNA (514 nucleotides) under uncultured bacterium. RNAcentral's name for it is "bacterial SSU rRNA". It matches the Rfam family "Bacterial small subunit ribosomal RNA", at positions 219 to 725 of the family's 1533-position model. The record is from RNAcentral.
UGAUUGAGCGGCCGAUAUCAGAUUAGCUAGUUGGUGAGGUAAAGGCUCACCAAGGCGACGAUCUGUAGCGGGUCUGAGAGGAUGAUCCGCCACACUGGAACUGAGACACGGUCCAGACUCCUACGGGAGGCAGCAGUGGGGAAUUUUGGACAAUGGGGGCAACCCUGAUCCAGCCAUGCCGCGUGAGUGAAGAAGGCCUUCGGGUUGUAAAGCUCUUUCGGCCGGGAAGAAAUCGUAUCAGCUAAUACCUGGUGCGGAUGACGGUACCGGCAUAAGAAGCACCGGCUAACUACGUGCCAGCAGCCGCGGUAAUACGUAGGGUGCGAGCGUUAAUCGGAAUUACUGGGCGUAAAGCGUGCGCAGGCGGUUUUGUAAGACAGGCGUGAAAUCCCCGGGCUCAACCUGGGAACUGCGUUUGUGACUGCAAGGCUAGAGUACGGCAGAGGGGGGUGGAAUUCCACGUGUAGCAGUGAAAUGCGUAGAGAUGUGGAGGAACACCAAUGGCGAAGGCAGC